This 495-nucleotide ribosomal RNA is filed under the name uncultured bacterium. RNAcentral's name for it is "partial 16S ribosomal RNA". It matches the Rfam family "Bacterial small subunit ribosomal RNA", at positions 28 to 507 of the family's 1533-position model. The record is from RNAcentral.
GACGAACGCUGGCGGCGUGCCUAAUACAUGCCAGUAGAACGCUGAAGGAGGAGCUUGCUCUUCUGGAUGAGUUGCGAACGGGUGAGUAACGCGUAGGUAACCUGCCUGGUAGCGGGGGAUAACUAUUGGAAACGAUAGCUAAUACCGCAUAAGAGUAGAUGUUGCAUAACAUUUACUUAAAAGGUGCAAUUGCAUCACUACCAGAUGGACCUGCGUUGUAUUAGCUAGUUGGUGGGGUAACGGCUUACCAAGGCGACGAUACAUAGCCGACCUGAGAGGGUGAUCGGCCACACUGGGACUGAGACACGGCCCAGACUCCUACGGGAGGCAGCAGUAGGGAAUCUUCGGCAAUGGACGGAAGUCUGACCGAGCAACGCCGCGUGAGUGAAGAAGGUUUUCGGAUCGUAAAGCUCUGUUGUAAGAGAAGAACGAGUGUGAGAGUGGAAAGUUCACACUGUGACGGUAUCUUACCAGAAAGGGACGGCUAACUACGUG